UAGACCGCCUGGGGAGUACGGCCGCAAGGUUAAAACUCAAAUGAAUUGACGGGGGCCCGCACAAGCGGUGGAGCAUGUGGUUUAAUUCGAUGCAACGCGAAGAACCUUACCUGGUCUUGACAUCCACAGAACUUUCCAGAGAUGGAUUGGUGCCUUCGGGAACUGUGAGACAGGUGCUGCAUGGCUGUCGUCAGCUCGUGUUGUGAAAUGUUGGGUUAAGUCCCGCAACGAGCGCAACCCUUAUCCUUUGUUGCCAGCGAUUAGGUCGGGAACUCAAAGGAGACUGCCAGUGAUAAACUGGAGGAAGGUGGGGAUGACGUCAAGUCAUCAUGGCCCUUACGACCAGGGCUACACACGUGCUACAAUGGCGCAUACAAAGAGAAGCGACCUCGCGAGAGCAAGCGGACCUCAUAAAGUGCGUCGUAGUCCGGAUUGGAGUCUGCAACUCGACUCCAUGAAGUCGGAAUCGCUAGUAAUCGUGGAUCAGAAUGCCACGGUGAAUACGUUCCCGGGCCUUGUACACACCGCCCGUCACACCAUGGGAGUGGGUUGCAAAAGAAGUAGGUAGCUUAACCUUCGGGAGGGCGCUUACCACUUUGUGAUUCAUGACUGGGGUGAAGUCGUAACAAGGUAACCGUAGGGGAACCUGCGGUUGGAUCACCUCCUUACCUUAAAGAAGC
This 680-nucleotide ribosomal RNA is filed under the name Salmonella enterica subsp. enterica serovar Muenchen. RNAcentral describes it as "bacterial SSU rRNA". It matches the Rfam family "Bacterial small subunit ribosomal RNA", at positions 865 to 1533 of the family's 1533-position model. Lineage: Bacteria; Pseudomonadati; Pseudomonadota; Gammaproteobacteria; Enterobacterales; Enterobacteriaceae. The record is from RNAcentral. RNAcentral also lists the same sequence under 7 other names.